CUCAUGUGACGGUAUCACCUGAACCUCCCCAGGGCCGGAAGGCAGCAAGGAUAGGGUAGCUCUGCCGGGUGCGUGAGGGAUCCU
RNAcentral lists this signal recognition particle RNA (84 nucleotides) under uncultured Winkia sp. RNAcentral's name for it is "Bacterial small signal recognition particle RNA". It matches the Rfam family "Bacterial small signal recognition particle RNA", at positions 9 to 84 of the family's 97-position model. From Rfam's summary of the family: The signal recognition particle (SRP) is a universally conserved ribonucleoprotein involved in the co-translational targeting of proteins to membranes. Archaeal SRP consists of a 7S RNA and homologues of the eukaryotic SRP19 and SRP54 proteins. The record is from RNAcentral. Lineage: Bacteria; Bacillati; Actinomycetota; Actinomycetes; Actinomycetales; Actinomycetaceae.